GGAGGCGUCGCAUAGUGGACUAGUGCGGUUGUCUUGAAAACAACUAGGGCAGCAAUGCCCUCAGAGGUUCGAAUCCUCUCGCCUCCGCCG
Molecule: transfer RNA, 90 nt
Filed under: Candidatus Curtissbacteria bacterium RIFCSPHIGHO2_12_41_11
Lineage: Bacteria; Candidatus Curtissiibacteriota
Also listed under: 1 other name
Description: tRNA-Ser
Rfam family: tRNA
About the family: Transfer RNA (tRNA) molecules are approximately 80 nucleotides in length. Their secondary structure includes four short double-helical elements and three loops (D, anti-codon, and T loops).
Source: RNAcentral